CUUACCUCUCACUCUCUCCGCACCACACUCUCGUUCGGUCAUUCCCCUCCACCAAAUCCCUAGCUCUCCUCUAAUGAUUCGUGUUGUCGCCUCCCUCCCACCGGCGUCGCCGCCUCCCUCCAGUGACGUGCUUCGCCGCCUUCUCUCCCUCUCGCCCGUGUCGCCUUUCCCUCCCCCCCGUGCUGCGUCUUGCGUGCUCCAAGGCCGAGGAGGAGCGCGGGCACGGCGGCCUUGUCCUACUCGACACCGGCUGUGACAAACGCCGGCGCUCCUCGUUACCCUCUAUCUGCAAACAGGAGCUCCCGUACUGGACGCUACCGUCCCGCACGGGCUAUCUAAGCCGGAGCCCCCCUCCAUCUCGACGGCACCCGAGAUUGAGGCCGCACCGGAAUCCCAAUCGCCUACCACGCUCUACGCUCGACGGCAAGACCCACAAGAUAAGAGUAGGGAUGCGUGUUGCAGAGGGAAGAACGAUGUGAUAUGGACAAUGAUGCAGCUCCUGAAGAAGCGGUUGCCGCGUCUGCACUGAUUAGCUGUAAGACAGUUACUCCAGCACUUACAGUACUGCGUCUCCUCAAUCUAGGUUUUGCAGUACAGUAGGGAUGGACUCUGUAACUGAAAGGAGUAGCACUGAUUGUGUCGGGGCAAGGAGCGGGCGCGGCGAGCAGGAGCGGGCAAGGAGGUGGUGAGCACCUGGAGCUGCAAGCACCGGGCGAGGCGUGAGUUGCUGGGCGAGGCACGAGGUGCUGCCGACGGCGAGGUUCAAAUUCAAACUGAUUUGGGAGUUGGACAAUGGUACCCGUAAAAUGGAGAGAAGUUCGUGAUAUAGUGUGGAAAGCAAAUAUUGCUCACACUAACCUUGCAAAUGAAGUCAGACCAGAACUGGAUGAUUGAUGCAGGCGAACAAAAUUAAGUUUUGAGGUACACAUAUUUGAGCACCAUGCCUUGCCAAGCUUAACACUUUUUUGACUGUAAGCUUUACUUUGUGAUUCAUGUCUUGUACUAUAUGACAGAUGCGAAACAUCAAGGAUAACAAUAUAAACAGUUUGGGCCUAUAUAAGUGUAUGAAAGCAUCAUAUACGUAAUUAGAAAGUCUGGGCCACAAAUCAAAAAGCAUGACAUGUACAUACUGUUCAUACAAGUUUAGUCUGGAAUAGCUCAAUUUUUUCUAACAUUAGUCUGAGAUCUGUACUAUUAAAGAGGGGAAUUUCCUCUGAUUUAGUUAUUUUUUUUGGGUAUUACCGACCCAUACCACGAUCUCAAUUUAUUUCUUAACUGAAUUAACGAACAUUUUUUAUACUUAAUAAAAGUCAAAAUGCACAUAAUAAGUGGAGUAAAGAAUAUUUAUGAUCAGGGCUUGUUUUACCUUUUUUCUUCUGUGGUACGUUGCCCGUCGUUUAGCGUCUAUCUUAUCCCUUUGUUCUUGUGAUGGUACAUAAUCGGAGCAUCUUCCUUUUCUUUUUUCUCCUUAUAAGCUGCCCUUCUCCGCGUGUUUAUAAUGUCCCUUUUUUCUAUUGAUGAGGUCUUGUUAUGUUCUCCAUAAUCAUGAAUUGUAUCAGCAGUACCUUAAAACGUAUCUGGCAUGAAAAGUAUGAAAAGUAUUAAUUAUAAAGCGAGAAGAAUGUCUAGCAAAAGGCUGAUUUUCAUGACCGUACCCUCUUCCUUUUUCUUUCGAUAAGCAGCUCGCCUCCGGGCGUUUAUCAGCUCUCUCUUUUUGUCGGUGAAGCUGUUUUUGCGGUCAUUCAUCACAACUCAUGUUUUCUAGUGCUCGGUUGUUGGUAUAGACACUGAACAUUCACGAGCUAGAGCAUUACGCCCGACCUGGUUUCCCACAUCGACAUGGGAAGAUUCUAGAGCUACUGGAACAACAUAAUAGCCAUAAGCUGAUUAAAUAUAUGAAGAUGAACCCCCGUAAGGACUAAUUACUUCACAUCAAAGACGGACGGGUAAUACCAUUUGAACUGCCUCGUACAUUGCUGGCAUAGAAGAGUGUGAGAUUACUGGGAGCCGGCAAGGAAGCACCAUUAUGCAUGAAUGAGUUUGCUGGGUUGUCUGCAUCAUGUAAAAAUAACAAAAUGAAAAAACCCACAAGGCAUCAUUAUGUACAAAGGAGACUGGACCACACCUGCCAGUUUACUGAAUCUGUCCAACAAUAGGAUGUAAUACACAUAGUAUAAGAAUACCUGACAUCGCAUUGUAAGGUCGAUCAACAUUUGUGAUAUCCCCGGGAGCGAGUGUGAGUUCACUGGGAGCCGUCAACGAAGCAUCACUUAACCCAUCUGAUGUGUUGUUGCCCCCCUCGUAGUCUGUAAGGUAUGAUAGAGAAUAUACAAAACAGAUGAUUUUAUACCAGAAGUAUGUUGACGAUAUUUGCACAUAAUUAAACCUGGACCCAUUGAGUAACUAUCGUCAAGUUUGUCAGCUAAGGGUAUAUUCUCUGUGUUGUAUUCAUCAGCAUUUGCUCCAAAGGAAUGGCCUGCAACACAUCAUGUAUACACACUGUGAGCAGGGCAUGAUGUUAGCCAUGUUGACGAUAUUUGCAUAGAAUUAAACCUGCAAAGAUGGAGUAACUAUCGUCAAGAUUGUCAGCCAAGGGUAUACUCUCUGUGUUGUAUUCAUCAACAUUUGGCCCAUCCACAUGGCCUGCAAUACAUCAUGUAUCCAAAAUAUGAGAAGGGCAUGAUAUUAGCCAUGGUACAGCUAAAUCUGAUAGCGGAACAACCUGUAGGCAAACCUGCCGCCUUUGUAUCUUGAGUUGGCUUGCUUUUUGAAUUUCCCAUACGUACCUAUGAAUUGCCAGAUCCAUGAGACUCCAAGAUCAUUGCUUGAUAUAUGUACUACUUCACUGAUACAAUUAUGGUACUAUGAAUUUUGUAGACUUCAUGAGGUUGAGCAUGGAUCAAGUGGACAAAUGUCAGAUGAAGUAACGAAUACUGCAGUAAUUGCCAAGAGGCCACCUCCAGAUAAUUAUCCCAAGGAUGAUGACACGAACGCCCACAUGGAACUAAUAUAUGGAUCAGCAAUCAAUCAAGUUGCGAACAAGGUCAUGGCGACCUGAACCGACAUGAACAAGGUCAUUGCCGGCGAGCACCCCGUCGAGGGCUACCGCUACCGCAACACAUUCGCAAACCUGGAGAGUUGUGGUGGCCUCCAACGGAUGUACGUACCAUGAAUGUAAGCCGUUAAUGUGUAGCACAUCUCCAAUUACCGGAGUCCAAACGGAUACUCUCCUUUCUAUCCCUUUCUCUCUACUGUUCGAGAGAGGCGACCACGAGAGCGACUCGGGCCCGGCCCGAUCCUGGAUCUUUGCCGCCGGCGACGCCGGUCGGGAAGGAGAUGGGAGAGGUGCGUGGUGCUCUGUUGUAAAUAGUAGGCCUAGUCUAGGUGUUUCCUUUGUGGAGUUUGGCCUUGUGCCGGAGUUUGGCGUCAUGCCGAUGGAGCGCAACCCACCGCCGCUUGCGCGCAGCGCCUGGUGGUCGCCGGUGACAUCUUCUGCUCUUCUCCCAUGGUGGUGGCGAAGGGGAGAUGAUGUUUCUGGUGCUAGCUCUCAAAAUAAGCGCGUGGUCUUUGUGCCCUGGAUCUGGAGAAAGGCCAGCCGAUUCUCCCGGUUUCUUCAAGCCGUUGCGGUGAUGGAGCGGGAGCUUGGGAGGAGCGGCCAUCUGAAGAUGUCAGAUCGGGUUUGAGCUCAACAGCAGCAGCUAUUGCGGUGGGGGCGCUGGCGCCUGCUGUGGCGGUCGAUGGCCGGUCGUCGCCGUCAUUCUGCUGCUUCUUCUUCUGGCCGAAGGGCGGCCAUCCCCAUUCCUCCCGGCCUUGUAGCCAUUUGGGAGGCAGAUCUUCGUUCCGGCGGUCGCCAUGGCUGGUUGCUAUGGCUCCCUCGUCGCCCCAAGUGGUCACGUCCCCGGCGACGGCGAGGUGUAUCCGCUGAGAACGAUGUGGACCUGAUCGCGUUUUUCAUCUUUAGGUUGAGGUCCUUCUUGCAAAAGUCCUGGGACUUGUUCGUCGUUUGUUGUUUCUUCAGGGUCCUUUGUGUAAGACGCUGUACUUCUCUUUAUCUGAAUAAAUAGUUCGGGAUCCUUCGGGAUCCCUCUCUUGUUCAAAAAAAAAACA
Triticum dicoccoides is the source of this 4107-nucleotide long non-coding RNA. RefSeq lists it as uncharacterized. The transcript has 5 exons. NCBI's taxonomy places the organism in Eukaryota, Viridiplantae, Streptophyta, Magnoliopsida, Poales, Poaceae. The record is from RefSeq and is a predicted model, not a curated record.